UACGGGGGGGGGUAAGCGUUGUUCGGAAUUACUGGGCGUAAAGGGCUCGUAGGCGGCCAACUAAGUCAGACGUGAAAAUCCCUCAGCUUAACUGGGGAACUGCGUCUGAUACUGGAUGGCUUGGAUUCGGGAGAGGAAUGCGGAAUUCCAGGUGUAGCGGUGAAAUGCGUAGAUAUCUGGAGGAACACCGGUGGCGAAGGCGGCAUUCUGGACCGAUAUUGACGCUGAGGAGCGAAAGCCAGGGGAGCAAACGGG
Molecule: ribosomal RNA, 255 nt
Filed under: uncultured bacterium
Lineage: Bacteria
Description: partial 16S ribosomal RNA
Rfam family: Bacterial small subunit ribosomal RNA
Source: RNAcentral